RNAcentral lists this ribosomal RNA (497 nucleotides) under uncultured bacterium. Its description in RNAcentral is "partial 16S ribosomal RNA". It matches the Rfam family "Bacterial small subunit ribosomal RNA", at positions 28 to 507 of the family's 1533-position model. The record is from RNAcentral.
GAUGAACGCUGGCGGCGUGCCUAAUACAUGCAAGUCGAGCGAACGGACGAGAAGCUUGCUUCUCUGAUGUUAGCGGCGGACGGGUGAGUAACACGUGGAUAACCUACCUAUAAGACUGGGAUAACUUCGGGAAACCGGAGCUAAUACCGGAUGAUAUUUUGAACCGCAUGGUUCAAAAGUGAAAGACGGUCUUGCUGUCACUUAUAGAUGGAUCCGCGCUGCAUUAGCUAGUUGGUAAGGUAACGGCUUACCAAGGCAACGAUGCAUAGCCGACCUGAGAGGGUGAUCGGCCACCCUGGAACUGAGACACGGUCCAGACUCCUACGGGAGGCCGCAGUAGGGAAUCUUCCGCCAUGGGCGAAAGCCUGACGGAGCAACGCCGCGUUAGUUAUGAAGGUCUUCGGAUCGUAAAACUCUGUUAUUAGGGAAGAACAUAUGUGUAAGUAACUGUGCACAUCUUUACGGUACCUAAUCAGAAAGCCACGGCUAACUACGUG